RNAcentral lists this RNase P RNA (360 nucleotides) under marine eukaryotic metagenome. Its description in RNAcentral is "Bacterial RNase P class A". It matches the Rfam family "Bacterial RNase P class A". Rfam says of the family: Ribonuclease P (RNase P) is a ubiquitous endoribonuclease, found in archaea, bacteria and eukarya as well as chloroplasts and mitochondria. Its best characterised activity is the generation of mature 5'-ends of tRNAs by cleaving the 5'-leader elements of precursor-tRNAs. Cellular RNase Ps are ribonucleoproteins. The record is from RNAcentral.
AGUUAGUCGGGCAAUCGCUGCAUGGUCUUUGAUCUGUAGAGGAAAGUCCGGGCUCCAAAGAGCGGGGUGCCGGUUAACAGCCGGACGUUGUGAAGCGAUGGACAGUGCAACAGAAAGUGUACCGCCUCGGGCCUUUGGUUUGGGGUAAGGGUGAAAAGGUGAGGUAAGAGCUCACCGCAACCUUGGUAACAAGGUUGGCAGUGUAAACCCCACCCGGAGCAAGACCAAAUAGGAGGGCUUUGGCGUGGCUCGCGUCGUCCUCGGGUAGGUUGCUAGAAUCAAAGGGUAACUUUUGAUCCAGAUGAAUGAUUGCCUCUCGACGUUUCGUCGAAAGACAGAACCCGGCUUACAGACUAACUU